This 352-nucleotide unclassified non-coding RNA is filed under the name uncultured fungus. RNAcentral's name for it is "sequence contains ITS1". Lineage: Eukaryota; Fungi. The record is from RNAcentral.
UCGAAAGCCUGGCCCGCGAGCACGGCGGCGCGGUCGAGACCUACCGUGACAUGCGUCUCGUUUCCACGAUCAAUCAGGACGUCAACGGGCGCGGGCAGGGUGGCACCCUGGCCUUCCUCGAGCCAGGUCUCGUCGCCAUUGGCGAUACCGCCACGGUCAAGCGUUCGAUCGAUGCGAAGCUGAGCGCCACCAGCGUCACCAGCAACGACGAGAUCAUGACGCUCGUCAAGCAAACGGAACUGACUCACAACGCCUGGGCCCUCGGCCGCGUCGACGCCCUCACCUCCCACGCCAAUCUCCCAGACCAGAUCGCGAAGCAACUGCCCCCGGUCAGAUGGUUCAUGACUGGUGU